Molecule: long non-coding RNA, 1349 nt
Organism: Phyllopteryx taeniolatus (common seadragon)
Lineage: Eukaryota; Metazoa; Chordata; Actinopteri; Syngnathiformes; Syngnathidae
Exons: 3
Source: RefSeq, a predicted model, not a curated record
GCCUUCUUGGGAGAACCGGACGUCUCUCUUCCUGGCUCUUUCGUGGCUCGCUGGCAAUUUCCCGCUUGGCUGGGAGCGGACCCGGUACCCUUCGUAGUAGCGGCUGUGAUCGCUUAGCGGAGGCCCACGUUUAGGCCGGGAAGCCAUGCCCGUUCGAGCCCGGCUCGCGUUCACCGAGCCGCGUGCCCGCACAAAAGGGGAAACGGGGGAGGGGUGGCCGACGGCCAGCCCGGCUGGCGAGCUGCCCGCAAGGUACGAGGAGAGGAAAAACAAGACUAGCCUGAACUCAACUCCCAGAGAAGUCUUUGUACUCUCACGCAUAGAAGCAUUGUUUAAACUUUGGUCGUAGCAGAUGGGUUGCUUAUUGUUCAAUACGACAUUUCGUACUGUUUGAUCUCAAAAUCAGGCAGAGGACCUGUCAAAGUGAGAAUGGGGACACAGACACCCAGGCAUACAUUUGGAAUAUUUCUACAGAGUUUGCAAGAUAUAAAAACGGACAUUUUAUCUUCUGUUAACAAACAGAAUCGACAGCGCAUCGAUUGGCUGCUGUAAGUAUUGCGAAGAUGCCAAAACCGCUGAAAACUCAUAUGACCAUUUCUCAGGUAUCUCACGCACUGAUCAAACACUAUUGUGUACUGAUUUCAAAAGGUUGUGUGUUUGAUUCAAUUGAUUUCUUGGUGACAAUUGCAGAUUCCCCAGCAAACAAACUGUGUUGAAUUCAUUCUACUUUCAUCUUCAACUGCUCCCUGAUGUUUCGGCCAAACUCCCACAUAGAAUAGUUCCGACACCAGACUGGAACUGUGCUGCUUAUGUUAUAUUAUAAUUCCAGUGCCGCUUAGCUCAAGCAGAGUUCAUUCGAUUGGGACGUGACUGUGGGCAAAAGGCAAGAAAGCAGACAUGAAUGCACGCAGGGUGAAGGAUCAGAGACACAGUAUGACACAUUCAUCUCAAUCCCUCCAGGAAUCUGACACCCACAGAACACAACAGAUGACACCGCCACACUACAAAGCUGCAACCAAGGAGUCAGAAGUCGUCAUCAGUCAUCAUAAAACAGGCCUUACAACAGUGGUGCUUCAGGAAAAAUUCUAGGUUGACCUGGAGGUGAUCUGUCAUGGUGGACACGCGUGUCUGUCUUUAGCGGUGCUAUCAACGCUGUCCACCAUUUGUCCACCAGAGCUACAGUAUUACCAUUCAGACUGCGGUGAAAAGAAAACUGCAGUUGGAGACUCACGACAAGAACAUUUACAAUUCUUAUGAUGAUUCUUUGGAGUAAUUUCCUUAGUGUGUGGGUGUUCCUGUUCAGCAUGUCCAGGGGCAUGAUCUUGUCAACUCCUCGUUUAUCAUUCAAA